AAAAAGAGAAACUUACUCUCACAAUGGAAGGCUCCUUUUUACAAUUUUAAUUCCAAAAUAUUCUUUUUUUUUUUUCCAACUAACUCUAACCAAAUUCGUAGUCCAAACUUUGGUCAACAUAUUCUGUGAGCUCACUGUUCAAGAGAUUCGACGGAGGAAAUGGAAACGCCGGCGAGUAAAAUUCCGAGGAUCAAAUUAGGCUCGCAAGGCCUAGAAGUUUCUAGAAUCGGGCUGGGCUGUAGAGGCAUGUCUCCCAAUCAUGGCCCGCCCAAGCCCGAGCCCGAAAUGAUCAAGCUCAUUCAACACUCCAUUGAUCGCGGCGUCACCUUCCUCGAUACGUCCGAUCAGUAUGGACCUCACAUCAAUGAACUUCUCAUCGGCAAGGCAAUUAAAGGAAUGAGAGAAAAAGUACAAAUAGCUUCCAAAUUUGGCAUAAGUUUGAAAGAAGGGAAAAUGGACAUUUGUGGUGAACCAGAGUAUGUAAGAGCUUGUUGUGAAGCUAGCUUGAAGCGACUAGAUAUCGACUGCAUCGAUCUUUAUUAUGUUCAUCGGAUUGAUAUUCGAGUGCCUAUUGAAAUCACGAUGGGAGAACUGAAGAAAUUUGUUGAAGAGGGUAAAAUCAAAUAUAUAGGUUUAUCUGAGGCUUGCGCAGCAACAAUCAGAAGGGCACACGCGGUGCAUCCAAUAACAGCUGUUCAGAUGGAGUGGUCAUUGUGGACCAGAGAUCUUGAGGAAGAAAUAGUUCCAACUUGCAGAGAAUUAGGAAUUGGAAUUGUUCCGUAUAGUCCUCUCGGACGAGGAUUCUUCUCAGCAGGUCCAGAGUUGAUUGAGAGCUUGGCCGAGGGAGACUUCCGCAAGAAUAUACCAAGGUUCAAGCCUGAAAAUUUUGAGCACAACAAGCAAAUAUACGAGCAAGUCAAGGAAAUAGCAUCAAGAAAGGGAUGCACCACAUCACAACUUGCAUUGGCUUGGAUUCUUCACAAAGGAGAUGACAUAUGCCCCAUACCCGGUACCACCAAGAUUGACAAUCUCAACGAAAAUAUCGAAGCCAUAUCUGUAAAGCUGACAAUUGAUGAAAUGAUGCAGUUAGAGUCCUGUGCUGCUGAAGAUAUGGUUAAAGGCGAAAGGCACGCAUUCAUGUGGGCAACUUGGAUAAAUUCGGAGACUCCACCAUUGUCCUCCUGGAUAGAUGAAUAAUGGAUACUUUCUCGUCUUGCUUUGGAAGAAGCCUCCGUUAAGGCCCAAGUCUAAUUCGAAGUAAAGGCUGAACCAGGCAAUGUGUAAGAUGGAAGGGAAACAACUAUUAUAUUACAAAAAACAAAGAAGCAAUGUUUUGACAGGUUGUAAAUUAAUAAAGCUGCAUAACAAAGGCAUGAUGUUUAUAAAAGGCAACAAGAAAUCACAGUGAAAGAUCAUCUACAACAUACAGAAAAAGGACAGGGAUGUCGGCUCUAGGCGCACAAUAUACUUGAGCAUGAGCGUGGCUGCAACAAUUGGCUGUACUUUUGCUGCAAUUAUCAAAUUUAAUUUGAGAUAAACGUGGAGAAAUUAAGUGAAACCAAACAUUAGAUUAGAGAAAGGAA
Molecule: RNA transcript, 1583 nt
Organism: Solanum lycopersicum (tomato)
Lineage: Eukaryota; Viridiplantae; Streptophyta; Magnoliopsida; Solanales; Solanaceae
Gene name: auxin-induced protein PCNT115-like
Source: RefSeq, a predicted model, not a curated record